This is an RNA transcript of Schistocerca americana (American grasshopper), 2966 nucleotides long. It is a transcript of the gene named nicotinamidase, with no coding region annotated. NCBI's taxonomy places the organism in Eukaryota, Metazoa, Arthropoda, Insecta, Orthoptera, Acrididae. The record is from RefSeq and is a predicted model, not a curated record. The transcript has 10 exons.
UUCGCGAUUGCUUUGGUGUCUUGUACACACGCAGCUCACUAGAAAUCAAUUACUUCUAGGUUAUGGUUAUUUGUACUUCUUGCUUUUUCUGCCUUGCGGAAAAUGCUGCAUUUAAUAAGCGGCUAUUGAGCACGGAAGCAUGGGAUUCCCCUUACCUUAAAUCGUUGUGAUGUAAUUUUUCUCCGCAUUGUCGGGAAGUUUCAGAUUAUGUGAGACGUGCCAGUCUCGGAUAAGAGAAGCGCUCAGUCUCAAUAUAUGUACAGUGCUGUUAGUGCGAGCUGUUACCUGUUACUGAUUUCACAAUAAAAUAGUGUGUUGCUUUUGCAGUGUGUGAACAAUAAUUGCACUUGGCGACGCCAAUUUCAUUCGAGUUUGCCAUGGCGUUUAUGGACCAAAUAAACAGUGUUUCCAUGGAGAGUAAUGCAGUACAUGAUGAUCCUAUUGAUUUGUGUCUUGGGCACUAUAAUCCAGCAGGUGAUAACGAGAAGAUGGAUGCUUGCUUUUCAGCAUUUGACAAAAAUGGGGAUGGACUUAUUGAUAAAGGUGAAUUUGCAAGCAUAUGCAGAACACUUUUCCGAAAUGACAGAGGCUUUAUAUACAAUAUUGAGCAACCACAGAUUGAAGAAAUGCAUGCUGUCUUUGAUUUAAAUAAGGAUGGUUAUAUUGACAGAGAAGAGUUCAUAUUUUGCUGGGAUCGUUGGAUGAAGAAGAUUGUUCGCCCUGUGAGUGUGUUUUUGAUUGUUGAUGUCCAAAACGACUUUAUUUCGGGGUCUUUGAACAUUAGUCACUGCUCAGCCAAGCAGAAUGGAGCCGAGGUUAUCGAACCAAUAAAUAAGUUGCUGGAUACAGUCAAGUUUGAUGCUGUGUUUUAUUCCUUGGAUUGGCAUCCAAGUGAUCAUGUUUCUUUCAUUGAUAACUUGAGCCAGAGGAAAGUUCAUCCAUCAAGUCCUGUGUCAGCAGAGGAAGCACAAACAUAUGACACAGUUAUAUUUGAAGGCCCUCCACUUAUGAAGCAACGACUGUGGCCACGGCACUGUGUCCAAGAUUCAUGGGGUGCUGAAUUGCACAAAGAUUUGAAAAUUGUGGAAAAUGCUAUCAAAAUUUACAAAGGCACCAAUCCUGAAGUUGAUUCUUAUUCAGUGUUUUGGGAUAAUAAAAAACUAGCAGAUACAACAUUGUUCUCUGAAUUGAAACAGAGAAAUGCGACUGACAUUUACAUAUGUGGUCUGGCCUAUGACGUUUGUGUAGGGGCAACAGCCGCUGAUUCAUUAGCUAUUGGAUACCGAACUAUUCUGAUUGAUGACUGUUGUCGUGGAGUUGAUCUGAGAGAUAUUGAGAAGACUAGAAACACAGUCACAUCAAACAAUGGUGUCAUUGUGAACUCUACUCAGGGCCUCACAUCGGGCGGAUCGGUUACAAGGUGCAUGCAACGCCACUUCGAUGACUUGCAUGUUGGUUGAUGAGGAUGAAAUGAUGAUGAAGAGAACGCAACACCCAGUCCACAAGUGAAGAAAAUCUCUGACGCAGCCAGAAAUCGAAUAUUGGCUCCUUGGAUAGUGCCACAACAGCUGAAGCUCUGUGCUUGCCAUGACACAAAAUGUACAAAGUUAAGAGCAUGGUAGAAGGAAGAGACAGACGACCAGAACUUGGAUACAAAUUGGCUAUGGAACUGAAAAGUGCCCUACAUAAUAAAACUGAUUCAGCAGACCUUUCGGAGAAUGCCUGAUGCCUCAAAAAAUGAGCAUUAGCCUUUGCUGCUUUGUAUAUGCUCUAAAAUAUUUUUGAGAAGUGGAAACAUUUGUUUUUUUUCCCAUGAUUGCCUCAGUUCCUUUAUAUAUAUUUGUCAAACUUAAAACUCAAGUUUCAUUUCCAGACUAUAUGACUGCACCCCUAAAUGGCGAUGUGACUUACUAAAAGCAUUAAAAUUUGUAGUUAGAUCAGACAUCUGAUUCUUGUAUUAGAAAGCUGCUGGCGAAUGAUUAUUUGAAACUGGAAUACUUCACAUUUCAUUCACAUUAAGAGCGUAAUAUAAAAUCUUUAUAUAUUGUACAUAUAGUCAAUGAUAGAUUCUUGUAUGUUCAUUAACCAUCAGUCAGUCUCUUUCUUAAUUCCGCAUGGAGAAUUUACAGAGAGUGAAAUAUCAGAAUAUUUCAUGUUGUUCAGAUAUAAACAUUUUAGAGAGGACACAGUUCAAAUUACACACUUGUUCUUCAUGCUAAAUUACCAGCGAAAAACCAUCUCCUGAGAGAUUAUAAAAUGUCAGGUGUGGUACUGAGAAAUGGUGGCAUGUCUCUUAGUGCGGUUGUGUAGUGUGGCAUAAAAUGUGGCACUGCAAAAAUUAUCACCAAAUAACUAAUGUUCAUUCUACUUAGUUUUAAAAUCAUUGAUGUAAUUUGUCUUAAUUGCAUGUUAUUAAGGAUUUCAGUUAGUGCCAUGUCUAUUCACAUAUGAUCUCUUGCUCUCUCUCUCUCUCUCUCUCUCUCUCUCUCUCUCUCACACACACACACACACACACACACACACACACACACACACACACACACACACACAUGCACACACACGCACAUUUCUACUGUUAAAUGUAUGUUUUCUUAGACAUUGAACACAUUCCAGCUACAUUAGCCUUGAGUUGGGUACUUAAGUUAGCAUUUGUUUCUAAGCAGUUUAGUCCUUCACUUUUUAAUGGAAUUAUUGUAUCCUUAGGUUAAGAAGCAAGUGUACUUACAAUGCAUGCCUCUCAUCUAAAGAACAUAUAAAUAAUACACAUGAAUAAUUGGAAAGCUUCUAGUUGUAGCAACUGAAUACAAAACCCAGAAGAAAACAGAUAAAUUUUAUUUUAUGGAACACAAAAGUUGUUUUUGUUUGUGAGUAAUUACUGUAUGAGUUGCUAUUCAAGCAUUAGUGUCUGAGAUGGUUUUUGCCUGUUCUUUUAUAUCUUUGUAACAGUAAUGCAAUUGCGGAAAAUA